AUAUUCUGCACGGGCUUCUGGGCAGGCAGCACUAACACUCAGGAGAAGGUCUGCCUCUGUCUGCGCCUUCCUGGUUCAAUGCAGGCAGAUGAGUGUCACAGAUGUAACUGAGGCACUGAAUAAUCAACAUAUCGGAGCCAAUUCCCAGGACGGCAAGAGGGGGAACCGGCAGAGAUGACUGACCCUGGAGGACAAGAGCAUUCUUCUGACAAGUUUUAGCAUGGACUAUCCUCAGGAAAAUGAGAUCCAGGAAGAGUGACGCCCUCCUCGAACUGAAAGAUACUCAGGUUGAUGGAGUCAGGGACGAAGUGGCUUAUCAACAACACAGGAUGUCUGCAGGGAACAGAACUUAUUCAGACAUGGCCCAGAUUGUCUGCCCGUGGGGACUGAGGGACCUCUGAGGGUUACAUCAGGAAGGAAGGAGAGGCUGUUUCUACAGGUGCCACAGAAAAAUCGAUGCUGAGCCUCGGAUUAUUGGAUCCCAUAGAACCGUGGAGACUUGGCAGUGAAAUUCUUCCAAAGGCAGGCAGAGGUUUUCCUGGUUUGGGAAGUAUAAAUCCCGUGGGAAGUCAACUGGAGGACAUUUUACGCGUCACUCAUCCUAUUAUGAGCCUGCUGCUCCUCCGUCUCUUGACAAGGCCACCAACUAGAAGGGCACAGAAUUGUUCAUAAAACAGCUGAAUGUGAAUGUCUUUGGAUUCCCAUUUAAUGAGUUGGCAGCUAAAGGACAGGAGCAGCAAUAAGGCUUCCUGGCUACAUUUUCAUGGUGCCACCAACUGCGAGUUAAGCUGACAAACAUUUUGAGAGCUCGGCCCAUUUCAUUCCCAGCAGGAUGGCAGGAGUUAACUAAAACAGAAUAAACUAAAAAUUGUGCCUUCAUUGCACAUUUGCACUGAUUAUCAGCACUGAAAAUGGCUAAGUUCUGCUUAUCAAGGUUAUGCUUCACAUCACCCACCAGGGAGGAUCAUCUCUCAUGAAAACUUUCAAAUUUGAUUUUGAAAAUUUAUUCAGAAAAAUUUAAGCCACGCUCUUUCCCAACACAGGAAAUAAUAUGCUCCAGAGAAUCCUCUAAUUCACCGAAAAUGGACUUGGAUAACAUUUGGGUUCUCAUACUACCACAGUCCUCUUGAGAAGGACAGCCAGGAGGCUAAUAAUGAAGGGGCCAGGGAAGGAGGCCAAUGCUACAGGGUUAUCUCCUAACCUCAGAUGUUGGAUAAGUCCAUGGAAACAGCAGCGCUUCUGGAUGGCUUCAGAAAGGCUGGAGUGAUUGUUUGGACGAGAAAAACCCGCCUAUUCAUUCAAAGGUACAUGAAUGUUGUCGACACUGUCCCAUCUAAAGGUUCAUCCUUAGAAUUCUGCCUUAGACAAAGGAAGUGCUUGGAGCCCCACCACACCUAAAACCAUGCUUUGAAGGAUCUGCCAAGCUCACUUUUAAUCAUGAGAAAGAAAUUACCCACAUGGAGACAGCAGAAAAUGAGAAAGUAGAGAUCGUGCUGCGAAUAAUUCCAGCGAGUGCCAAGGGGCUAGUUGAGGAAUGGCUUCAUGAGAUGUUAGUCUAUCUAGAACAACAGAUUUGGAUCUAAGCUGGACCUUUGAGAAAGAAAAGACUUCGAGGAAAAACACCUUUCCAUAUGUUUUAUUACCUUUCACCUGAAUUGUUUAAUGCACACUAUCCAACUAUAUUCAUCUUUCUUGCUUCAUGUGUAUUUCUUCUUUUGCUUGAACUGCUUUAGAAUUGACUUUUGAGCUACACAGUCAUUCUGGAUUUUUAAAAAGAGAAUUCUAAUAAAAACUUAUAUAUGUUGUUAA
RNAcentral lists this long non-coding RNA (1809 nucleotides) under Mus musculus (house mouse). Lineage: Eukaryota; Metazoa; Chordata; Mammalia; Rodentia; Muridae. The record is from RNAcentral.